AAAUUAUUUCAACAGUUACUUAGUAAGUUUAUAUUUUCGUGGUCCUAUCGUCUUCUUUAAGGCCAACAAGUCGUAUUCACACACACGUACAUAGAUAGAAACCAAAUACCGAAUAAUAUUGACAACAAUUUAACGAUCCUAAUAAUUCGGAAAGUAGAAAGUUUUGAUCACUUAAAAAAUUUAAAAACUUUCAACGUAAUUCCAGACAUAUAUACGAUAAAUUUAUAAACUAUAGUGAUGGUUAUUUAUACAUUUUAAGAGUAAUUCAUCAUUUUACCCAAGGGGCCACGAACAAAAAAUACUUAAUACUGCAUUAACAGCUUUUUCAAUAGAGCAUAAUUUGUUUUUUCAGCAGGUUCCAGAUUAUAAAUUAAAAAUAAAUUAUAGUCAAAAUAAAUUGUAAAUUACCUAAUGGAAAAUUCAAUUAACACACACAUUUUACAAUUUUCAAGCAUCAAUCUGAUUCCAUGUGAUAGCAAUAUGUCAAUAUAUCAUCAACCAGAAAAAUUUUUAACAUUAAAAAAGUUCUGCGUUUUAGCUUUGUAAGUAUAAAUGGUAAAAUAGGUUCUCUUCAUAUUCCAAAUAAUAAAAUAUUAAUAACUUAUUUAUUUUUAUUAUAACUUAAAUUGUAAAUUUUAAAUAAAUAAAAAAAAUUCUUGCUUAUUUGUUGCAUAUUUUCAUGAUUUU
This is a long non-coding RNA of Aphis gossypii (cotton aphid), 687 nucleotides long. RefSeq lists it as uncharacterized. The record is from RefSeq and is a predicted model, not a curated record. NCBI's taxonomy places the organism in Eukaryota, Metazoa, Arthropoda, Insecta, Hemiptera, Aphididae. The transcript is spliced from 4 exons.